Molecule: ribosomal RNA, 464 nt
Filed under: uncultured bacterium
Lineage: Bacteria
Description: partial 16S ribosomal RNA
Rfam family: Bacterial small subunit ribosomal RNA
Source: RNAcentral
CUACGGGCCGCAGCAGUGGGGAAUAUUGCACAAUGGGCGCAAGCCUGAUGCAGCCAUGCCGCGUGUAUGAAGAAGGCCUUCGGGUUGUAAAGUACUUUCAGCGGGGAGGAAGGGAGUAAAGUUAAUACCUUUGCUCAUUGACGUUACCCGCAGAAGAAGCACCGGCUAACUCCGUGCCAGCAGCCGCGGUAAUCCGGAGGGUGCAAGCGUUAAUCGGAAUUACUGGGCGUAAAGCGCACGCAGGCGGUUUGUUAAGUCAGAUGUGAAAUCCCCGGGCUCAACCUGGGAACUGCAUCUGAUACUGGCAAGCUCGAGUCUCGUAGAGGGGGGUAGAAUUCCAGGUGUAGCGGUGAAAUGCGUAGAGAUCUGGAGGAAUACCGGUGGCGAAGGCGGCCCCCUGGACGAAGACUGACGCUCAGGUGCGAAAGCGUGGGGAGCAAACAGGAUUAGAUACCCCCGUAGUC